UGGCUUAGUGGGUAAGAGCUAUGGCUGCUAAUCAAAAGGUUGGCGGUUCGAAUCCGCC
This 58-nucleotide transfer RNA is filed under the name Loxodonta africana (African savanna elephant). It matches the Rfam family "tRNA", at positions 8 to 63 of the family's 71-position model. From Rfam's summary of the family: Transfer RNA (tRNA) molecules are approximately 80 nucleotides in length. Their secondary structure includes four short double-helical elements and three loops (D, anti-codon, and T loops). The record is from Rfam by way of RNAcentral. Lineage: Eukaryota; Metazoa; Chordata; Mammalia; Proboscidea; Elephantidae.